GAAACGGGUCACCCUUUGACCCGCACGACCUAGCCCAUUUCUCCAUAUUUUCCGAUGGAUUUCCAAUGAAUUAGACCAAGCCACCACUCCCAAUCAUCAUCUAUCCCUUCCCUCUUCCAUUUCCACCCAAAAUUUGAAGGAAUUUUGGGGUGAAUUUGUGAAAACCCAACGAUGGGGCUACGGGUUCAUGGCGGCCAUUCCUCAAAUCUUGAAGCAAAAUCCUUCACUUACCACCACCAAAACACUCCUAUGUAACCCAGGAACAAAGCUCAAACAAGUUUAGGGGGCGUUGGAGCUGCUAUGGAGUCGAAACGAGGACACCCAAAUUUUAGGGUUCUGGUGGAUACGUGGCAAAUUGAGGUGUGUCCCGGCCAAAUUGGACUUCACCACAGUGGUCCUUCGUCAAAGAAAGUUCAGGGCGAAGGUUCUGACAAAGAAAAAGAAGAGAGUUGCGACAUGCGUUUGAUAUACUUCUUCAGCUAAAAGCCGUUACCGAAUCACUUACGUAGAAUUAGUACGAUAUCAGACGUCGGAUGCGGUGAACAAGUUUAGGGGCAAUGUCGGGGUAUUGGUGCGUGACAAAUGCAGAGUGAAUUGGGAGUCUUAGAAAGACGUCCCCGAGGAGAUAAAGACCGUCAAGGUCGAUGCAUUAGUACUUGAUUGGGACAUUGAAAAAAGUGAUGCAAAUUAGAUGAAGUGCAUCGACGUCAUGUUCAAGUAUCGUUUUGGGGAGUUGAAGCUUGAUGUUGAACGUGAUGCAGAGCAGCAUAGAGUGGUUGGACCAACGCAUAAUUAUAAUAGUUUUUUUUAUUA
Molecule: long non-coding RNA, 813 nt
Organism: Malus domestica (apple)
Lineage: Eukaryota; Viridiplantae; Streptophyta; Magnoliopsida; Rosales; Rosaceae
Source: RefSeq, a predicted model, not a curated record